Molecule: ribosomal RNA, 432 nt
Filed under: uncultured bacterium
Lineage: Bacteria
Description: partial 16S ribosomal RNA
Rfam family: Bacterial small subunit ribosomal RNA
Source: RNAcentral
CCUACGGGGGGCAGCAGUGGGGAAUUUUGGACAAUGGGGGCAACCCUGAUCCAGCCAUGCCGCGUGCGGGAAGAAGGCCUUCGGGUUGUAAACCGCUUUUGUCCGGGAAGCGGUACUGGAAGAAUAAGCACCGGCUAACUACGUGCCAGCAGCCGCGGUAAUACGUAGGGUGCGAGCGUUAAUCGGAAUUACUGGGCGUAAAGCGUGCGCAGGCGGUUCGUAAAGUCUGAUGUGAAAGCCCCGGGCUCAACCUGGGAAUGGCAUUGGAAACUAGCGGGCUUGAGUGUGGCAGAGGGGGGUGGAAUUCCACGUGUAGCAGUGAAAUGCGUAGAGAUGUGGAGGAACACCGAUGGCGAAGGCAGCCCCCUGGGCUAAACUGACGCUCAUGCACGAAAGCGUGGGGAGCAAACAGGAUUAGAUACCCUUGUAGUC